AACGAACGCUGGCGGCAUGCCUAACACAUGCAAGUCGAACGAGACCUUCGGGUCUAGUGGCGCACGGGUGCGUAACGCGUGGGAACCUGCCCUUAGGUUCGGGAUAACUCCCCGAAAGGGGUGCUAAUACCGGAUAAUGUCUUCGGACCAAAGAUUUAUCGCCUUUGGAUGGGCCCGCGUUGGAUUAGCUAGUUGGUAGGGUAAAAGCCUACCAAGGCGACGAUCCUUAGCUGGUCUGAGAGGAUGAUCAGCCACACUGGGACUGAGACACGGCCCAGACUCCUACGGGAGGCAGCAGUGGGGAAUAUUGGACAAUGGGCGAAAGCCUGAUCCAGCAAUGCCGCGUGAGUGAUGAAGGCCUUAGGGUUGUAAAGCUCUUUUACCCGGGAUGAUAAUGACAGUACCGGGAGAAUAAGCUCCGGCUAACUCCGUG
This 433-nucleotide ribosomal RNA is filed under the name uncultured bacterium. RNAcentral describes it as "partial 16S ribosomal RNA". It matches the Rfam family "Bacterial small subunit ribosomal RNA", at positions 29 to 507 of the family's 1533-position model. The record is from RNAcentral.